Molecule: ribosomal RNA, 440 nt
Filed under: uncultured bacterium
Lineage: Bacteria
Description: partial 16S ribosomal RNA
Rfam family: Bacterial small subunit ribosomal RNA
Source: RNAcentral
CCUACGGGUGGCAGCAGUGGGGAAUAUUGCACAAUGGGGGAAACCCUGAUGCAGCGACGCCGCGUGAGCGAUGAAGUAUUUCGGUAUGUAAAGCUCUAUCAGCAGGGAAGAAAAUGACGGUACCUGACUAAGAAGCCCCGGCUAACUACGUGCCAGCAGCCGCGGUAAUACGUAGGGGGCAAGCGUUAUCCGGAUUUACUGGGUGUAAAGGGAGCGUAGACGGCGAUGCAAGCCAGAUGUGAAAGCCCGGGGCUCAACCCCGGGACUGCAUUUGGAACUGUAUAGCUGGAGUGUCGGAGAGGCAGGCGGAAUGCGCAGUGUAGCGGUGAAAUGCUUAGAUAUUGCGCAGAACUCCGAUUGCGAAGGCAGCAUACCGGCGGCGAUCUGACGCUGAGGCACGAAAGCGUGGGUAUCGAACAGGAUUAGAUACCCCAGUAGUC